Molecule: long non-coding RNA, 535 nt
Filed under: Vombatus ursinus (common wombat)
Lineage: Eukaryota; Metazoa; Chordata; Mammalia; Diprotodontia; Vombatidae
Description: lncRNA (ENSVURG00010003374.1)
Source: RNAcentral
UGAGAGAGAGCUGGAAAUUGCCUUCAGCCCUUUAAAAAAAUUCACCUUUGUCCUUGUGUUUUUCUCCUGGCUUGGAGAUGCAGAUAGUGGAGAGACCUGGUAGAAUGGAAAUAUACUGAGCAUGGAUUUUGUCAGUCCAACACAUGGAAGCAGCUGGGGCAUUCGAUCCUCUUUACACCAGUAUGUCAAACGAGCAUCUUUCUGUGACCUUGGUAGGAGCUGCCAACCUAAUGACGCAGCACAGCACUUUUCAGCAGGAGGCCCUGCCUCAUGUGGCAGACCUGACCUGAGACAAUUCAGGUCUCAUUUAAGGCAUUUCAAUGAUGAGAACAGAAGCUUCCUAGUCCUGAUUGUCCUGACAUAGUGACCCAAAUGGUAGCAUGCUCUUUGUUUUUCAACUGUGCUGGUUUGUGUUUCAGACAUUAAAGAUGCUUUUGUGACCAGAGGCUCAAUGCUUUAAAUGAAAAUGAAAAAGAAAUACAUGAAGUUUGGAAAAUGAAUGCCACAAGGACAUUAGAGCCAGGCUAACAUCCCC